Molecule: long non-coding RNA, 600 nt
Filed under: Rattus norvegicus (Norway rat)
Lineage: Eukaryota; Metazoa; Chordata; Mammalia; Rodentia; Muridae
Description: long non-coding RNA NONRATT024270
Source: RNAcentral
AUGGGCAGAAAGACUGGGAUCAGGUGACCUGGCCCCUCAGCUAGAGAAACCAUGGCAUCCCUGAAGUACAGUGUGUUUUGGGUUGAACAGAGAAGCAGCCUUAUUGCCUACUGCUGGGCAAGGAGGCGGAGUCAAACAAGGGGGCGGGGCGUACGGUACAACUGGAUAGAGGGGAUAAGUUUAGCUAAUCUCGGUAGAAGCAGUCUCUGCAGGGGAGCUGUUCAAGCAGUAAAUAUGAGGGUGGGAGAAAGCUUUGGUGGACAUUUUCUGCACACUGUCAACAUCUACACUUGGACAAAAGGAAGGAAGACUUCGGCAUUCCUCUGUAUGAUUCACCCGCCCUGAAGGGGAAGGGCUUUGCUUUCCCGUUCCUCCAUGAGUCUGAGGCUCUGGGGACAUUGGCAUGGCUGUGCCUGUGUCACAGCACACAUUCACUCGGGACUUACACAACUCAGGGCUUCCUCCUCCCCCUACAGUAGCAGCUUAACUUUACUGAUCUAAUUUUCUUAUUAUAUAAUUGGGUCACUUCUUGGACAUUUCAGGUUUCAUACUGUUAUUUUUUUUUAAAAAAGUGGAGAGACCCUGUCUCAAAAAAAAAAA